RNAcentral lists this ribosomal RNA (253 nucleotides) under uncultured bacterium. RNAcentral describes it as "partial 16S ribosomal RNA". It matches the Rfam family "Bacterial small subunit ribosomal RNA", at positions 524 to 776 of the family's 1533-position model. The record is from RNAcentral.
UACGUAGGGUGCGAGCGUUGUCCGGAAUUAUUGGGCGUAAAGAGCUCGUAGGCGGCCAGUUGCGUCUGCUGUGAAAUCCCGGGGCUCAACCCCGGGCUUGCAGUGGAUACGGGCUGGCUGGAGGCAGGCAGGGGAGAACGGAAUUCCCGGUGUAGCGGUGAAAUGCGCAGAUAUCGGGAGGAACACCGGUGGCGAAGGCAGAUCUCUGGGCCGUAACUGACGCUGAGGAGCGAAAGCAUGGGGAGCGAACAGG